CCUACGGGUGGCAGCAGUGGGGAAUAUUGGACAAUGGGCGAAAGCCUGAUCCAGCCAUGCCGCGUGUGUGAAGAAGGCCUUCGGGUUGUAAAGCACUUUCAGUGGGGAAGAAAGCCUUGGGGCUAAUACCCUCGAGGAAGGACAUCACCCACAGAAGAAGCACCGGCUAACUCCGUGCCAGCAGCCGCGGUAAUACGGAGGGUGCGAGCGUUAAUCGGAAUUACUGGGCGUAAAGCGCGCGUAGGCGGUCUGAUAAGCCGGUUGUGAAAGCCCCGGGCUCAACCUGGGAACGGCAUCCGGAACUGUCAGGCUAGAGUGCAGGAGAGGAAGGUAGAAUUCCCGGUGUAGCGGUGAAAUGCGUAGAGAUCGGGAGGAAUACCAGUGGCGAGGGCGGCCUUCUGGACUGACACUGACGCUGAGGUGCGAAAGCGUGGGUAGCAAACAGGAUUAGAUACCCUAGUAGUC
Molecule: ribosomal RNA, 465 nt
Filed under: Vreelandella stevensii
Lineage: Bacteria; Pseudomonadati; Pseudomonadota; Gammaproteobacteria; Oceanospirillales; Halomonadaceae
Description: partial 16S ribosomal RNA
Rfam family: Bacterial small subunit ribosomal RNA
Source: RNAcentral